ACUAGAAAAUGCAGAUUUGGCGCGUUUCCCAAAGCCAUAGCUGCUAACUAAGUUAGCAACUUUGUUGGUUGCAAUGAAAUUUCCCAUUGCCAACCAACUAAGUUGCUAACAGG
This is a long non-coding RNA of Alosa sapidissima (American shad), 113 nucleotides long. RefSeq lists it as uncharacterized. The transcript is spliced from 3 exons. The record is from RefSeq and is a predicted model, not a curated record. Lineage: Eukaryota; Metazoa; Chordata; Actinopteri; Clupeiformes; Clupeidae.